UACGAAGGGGGCUAGCGUUACUCGGAUUGACUGGGCGUAAAGGGCGCGUAGGCGGUUUGUCCAGUCAGACGUGAAAUUCCUGGGCUCAACCUGGGGGCUGCGUUUGAUACGUGCGGACUUGAGUUCGGAAGAGGGUCGUGGAAUUCCCAGUGUAGAGGUGAAAUUCGUAGAUAUUGGGAAGAACACCGGUGGCGAAGGCGGCGACCUGGUCCUUGACUGACGCUGAGGCGCGAAAGCGUGGGGAGCAAACAGG
This 253-nucleotide ribosomal RNA is filed under the name uncultured bacterium. Its description in RNAcentral is "partial 16S ribosomal RNA". It matches the Rfam family "Bacterial small subunit ribosomal RNA", at positions 524 to 776 of the family's 1533-position model. The record is from RNAcentral.